Molecule: non-coding RNA, 1396 nt
Organism: Pantherophis guttatus
Lineage: Eukaryota; Metazoa; Chordata; Lepidosauria; Squamata; Colubridae
Source: RefSeq, a predicted model, not a curated record
UAGGGUACACACCAGUGGAGGGUUGCUCCCGGUUCUGUCUGGUUCUUAAGAACUGGUAGUAAAAGCGGCGGGAGGCUCCACCCACCCACCCGGACGUCAGAAUUGACGAUCUGCACAUGUGCGUGCACUCCCGUUGUAAACCGGUAGUAAAGCAUUUUGGAGAACGAGCAUUCUGAAACACAAGACACCUUUCAGAGGAGAUUUGUUGUGACCUAGAAGUAUGAUGUCCGUUUUGCAAGCCAAGGUUCCAGCUUCAAGCCUCAGCAUUUCCAGGCUAAAGGAAGAUGUUUGGAUAGCAAUCCUAUAAACCCAACACAGAAACAGAAACCUUUCUAAAUAUUUCCUCAGCUGCAAAUUUAAACUUUACAGGUUUACUGGAUUCUUGUUGUCCUAUUUCUUGAUUAAUAUCCCAAUAAGUGUCCUGAAACAUGAUGAAUUGGAUGCACUGUUCACGCCAAUCAUCUGAAAGCAAGUGACAAAACCAAAAGCUGAAGUUGGACAGAAGGCUGAAAGCCCGUUAUCCAGUAUGUCUACUGAAAUUUAUCCUAAAGUUCUAAGAGCCUGGAAAGAUAAAGAAAAAAGUGAAAUCCAUCCUGUCUGAGCACCUGAAGAUCUGAGGAGUUUGGAACCAAAAGCCAAUGGAUUGAAAUAUGAUACUGAUGCAAUAGGACCUCAGUUCUGAAAAUGGUGCCAGGUGGCUCAGCAGACUGAUAGCAUUGUGAUUAACACCAGCUGUCUGCAAUUACUGUAAGUUCGAAUCUCACCAGGCUCAAGGUUGACUCAGCCUUCCAGCCUUUCUAAGUUGCCACACAGAGGGAGAAGAGGGGGAAGGAGGUUGGAAUGCAUUACUAGACACAACAAAGAACUUUCUCCUAAGAAGCAAGGUCGUCUCUACUAGCAACAGAUAAGGUUGGGGAAGGAGUGCCUGAAGAGCCCGCCAAUUAAUCCAAUUGGCCAACAUGACCUGUAACACUUGGGGAUGGGGUUAUUUCCUAGUUUAAUUAUACUGAAAACGCAGGAAAGAUUUAGAUUUGGUUUUCCAUUGAAGCUGUGCCCAUAUGAUGUACUCAUUAAAGAAGACCUUUGAGAAAAAGCCAAGUCUCAGAGUUCUGAUUUGCUUGGGUUGUUACUUGGAGCCUUGACAAUAUAUAUCAUUCUGUUCAGUGGCUGUUGUUCCAAUCUCCUCACUUGAUACAGAACUGCCAAAUAUUUUCUCUUUAAUGGGAGUGGGCAGGAAGAAAAGAGAUGGCUUUGAUGUGGCGGUCCUUCCUAAGGGCAAUAAUAAGGCUAAGAAGGAAAUGACUGUUCACACACACAUAAUGUAAUGUUUCUCUUUAAAAUGUGUUCAAAGGCAGGCUUUCCAACUUUGCUGAAUUCUGCCCCUCCCUGGGCACAA